UACAUGCAAUGCCCAAACCACAUGGUCUUCAUUAUUGCGGCUUAGUAGGAAAUCUUUUGAUCAGGUGGUACUAGUCCUUCACCUUUGGUCUUCUCUAGACUCACCGUGAGAGGUCUGUGUGAAGCUGAGAGUCUCUUCUGGUGAGGGCGCCAUAGAACAGGCAUUUUCACGUGCCCCCGGAGCUCGCGCCCUGGGAUAAGGUCAGGCUGCACCCGCGCCAGCCCACAAACCUCCAGAGAAGAGAGAAGACGGCUGAGCGAGAACCAGGAAGCGAGGUCUCCCCAGACACCUGAUUUUCCGGUGCCCUGAUGUCACGCUUCCCAGCGUCCAGAACCGCGUGAGAUAAAUAUCUGUCGUUUCUAAGCCACCCAAUCCACAGGGUUCUGUUAUCGAAGCCCGAACAGACCACGAUGGAAGCUGACUCCCUGUCCCUUUGGGACCCGAAGAACCUACCAAGGUGGCUGUGCUUUUGAAAGGAGGACAAAAAAUAAGUCAGUGGGAGAUCGUUCCCGAAUUAUGUUACACAAAGAGGCUUUACGUUAAGAUACUUUACACAAUAAAAGAGAUAGCCACAAAACAAUUAAUAAAAUGCUCCCUACAAAAGAAAAGAAGAUA
Molecule: long non-coding RNA, 615 nt
Organism: Leopardus geoffroyi (Geoffroy's cat)
Lineage: Eukaryota; Metazoa; Chordata; Mammalia; Carnivora; Felidae
Exons: 2
Source: RefSeq, a predicted model, not a curated record